RNAcentral lists this ribosomal RNA (468 nucleotides) under uncultured bacterium. RNAcentral's name for it is "partial 16S ribosomal RNA". It matches the Rfam family "Bacterial small subunit ribosomal RNA", at positions 28 to 507 of the family's 1533-position model. The record is from RNAcentral.
GACGAACGCUGGCGGCGUGCUUAACACAUGCAAGUCGAACGGAAAGGCCCUGCUUUUGUGGGGUGCUCGAGUGGCGAACGGGUGAGUAACACGUGAGUAACCUGCCCUUGACUUUGGGAUAUCUUCAGGAAACUGGGGCUAAUACCGGAUAGGAGCUCCUGCUGCAUGGUGGGGGUUGGAAAGUUUCGGCGGUUGGGGAUGGACUCGCGGCUUAUCAGCUUGUUGGUGGGGUAGUGGCUUACCAAGGCUUUGACGGGUAGCCGGCCUGAGAGGGUGACCGGCCACAUUGGGACUGAGAUACGGCCCAGAAUCCUACGGGAGGCAGCAGUGGGGAAUAUUGCACAAUGGGCGGAAGCCUGAUGCAGCAACGCCGCGUGCGGGAUGACGGCCUUCGGGUUGUAAACCGCUUUCGCCUGUGACGAAGCGUGAGUGACGGUAAUGGGUAAAGAAGCACCGGCUAACUACGUG